AUUGGAACAUCCAAAGAAUCACUUAAGAAAAUUCUUGUGAGGGGAGAAUUUGAUGAGUUCCCGGAUGACAAACACAUGCAUUGCAAGGCUAGGCUUGUUGAGAUGCUCAAUAAGUGCUCAGAUCAGCUUCACGAGUGCAAUGUGAGUGACCCCAAAAGUAAUUUCUUACUGGAGGAGAUUGCGAUUUUGGAGGAGGCCAAAGGUAUCAACCUUCCCAAUUUUGUUCCGCGCAAUGCUUUUCUUAUAGUUUUGCAGGGUAAAGUUAAGGGGAUUUCGAGCAUACCUAUUGGGUUUGUUGAGCAGGUUUGGAGUUAUAUUGAGGAUGUGGUUUUGUCUGUGUUAAGGAGAAAUACAGAAAACUAUUACCAUGUUCAAUUGUCUGCCAGAAGAGCAGGCCAUAAUCUUAUUGAAAAGAUGAAAGAAAGGUCGAUCAAUUGGAUGACGGAGAUAGUGGAAAUGGAGAAACUAACUGAUUAUACAUGUAAUCCGGAAUAUCUAUCCGAAUGGCAUAGGCUCAUGACUGAACAAGAAACAUUCAUCCAAAAGGUCUUGCGUGACGCUGAGAUAAACAUAAAUGUAAAGGGAAUUGGGAUGGUUGAAGUUGGAGGUCUAAGGAAGUACACACAUGUCCUGUUGUCUCAAGCUUUCGACUUGAAAAUGCGGAUGACUGCGUAUUGGAAUAUUGUGCUGAGAAGGUUGAUUGAUAUCAUGGGUUUGCAUUUGCAGCUGAGUGUUUCAAACCUUGUGAACAAGGACCUGGAGAUGGAGAUUAUGAAUGAGCUACUGGGACCUAACCAUGGUGGUGGGAUUGAGAGGAUGCUGGAGGAACCUCCAUCAAUGGCAGUGAAGCGCCAGAAGCUUAUCAAGAGCAUCAAAAAGCUCAAGGAGUCUAAAGAGGUUGUGUGUAAGAUCAUGGACGACAGGUUUACUUACGCUGAUUACCUUGUGUGAUAGAUAACUAAGGGGUCCAGUUAAAUUAUGGUAUGUUUCGUGUGAAAGAAGGCAUUUUGCCAAUGAUGUGUGGUUGAUCUGUUUGUACUUAAUUAUGGAUCUGCAUUUUGUUUAUCAUGUACCUGGUUGGUUGAUGUUCUUGUGUGACUUAAUUAUAAGCACAUUCUGUUUUUGUCUUUUGGGUUGCUAAACCUUACCCGGCUUGCUCCUGGAAUAGGAGGAAAUUUCUAUCCUCUGUUCCUUCCUAGAUCUUUUAAUUCAUGACACUGUGGGUGAUGGUAGAAACACCUUCCUUUGUCAUGAUCACAAUUGGAACCCUUUUGGGGGCUUUUGCCUUUGAGUUGGGACCCUUGUUAGUCUUCCAUUUGGUCAAUGGGAAUCUAUUGGUAUUUGCUUUUGCCACGCUCAAUGAGAAUAAUUAAUCACUUCCCAAUGGAACUCUGGCCUUCUAAGCACUUGUUCUUUAGAAUGUUAUAGGCCCUGUUUGAUUGGCCGGAUUGGAUUAGCUAGAUUCAAUUAAAAUGGACAUGGAUCCUAACCAUUGUUUG
RNAcentral lists this long non-coding RNA (1499 nucleotides) under Prunus dulcis (almond). RNAcentral's name for it is "sRNA ncRNA". Lineage: Eukaryota; Viridiplantae; Streptophyta; Magnoliopsida; Rosales; Rosaceae. The record is from RNAcentral.